GAAGACUUGGGAGCAGAUUAAUUGAUCGUUGAGGAUUCAUGGAAGAGACAAUUUGAAGGAGCUUGAAAGCUCUUUUAUAUGCUGUCUGAAGUGCAUCUGCUUGAUUGCUUGUAGGCUUUCUUAUAAUAGCAUUCUGCUAUUGAUCUUCAAACUUUAUCCGUGGCUGGAGAGAUCGGUAGGGCACGUGGAACCCUAGAAAGAAUCCCAUAAUAACUAUUGGAAGCCCGGAGAGAUUCCGAGUUGAAGAAAAAGUCUACUGGAGAAAUGAACAAUUGAAUGGCCACAAAACUACUCAGAUGUCAAAAGGGAAUGCUGAAGAUGACAGCUAUUAGAGUUAUCAUGAUCUGGAUUAUCUGCAGGGAAUAGCAAUGGUGAUGAGAGCCUAUUUGUACUCUGUGAAAGGGAAGAUAACUUGAUGAGCUAUACAACAACAACAACAAUCCAGUAGAAUUCCACAACGUGGGGUCUGGGGAGGGUAAAGUGUACGUAGAUCUUACUCCUACCAAGGUAGGACGACUGUUUCCGAGAGACCCUCAGCUCAAUAGAAGCAUAAAAAGAGGUCAGAUAAGGCUAAGAAGUUCAAAGCGAUAUGAAAAAGCAAAUAACGAAAGCGACACAGAUAAAAUUGUCGCUAUAAGUUUAAUAAUAUUUUAUAUUAUCCAAUUUUGCUAACAACAAAAAAAAAACUAACAAUAUUGGAAACUUGUCGAAAAAAUCUUAAUUAUAACUAGUCUUUAAGUAAAUAUAUAUGUGUAAUGUAUGAAUAUAAUCACCUUAUAUAUGUCAAUAAUGGAACGAAACUUUGUUCUCCUUGGUAUUCCUUGCUUCAAGUGGUCGUAGUUUUCAUCUUUUUCAAUUCUUAUGGAAACUUCUGAACCACUAUCAAUGCUAUUGUUCAUUAGAGUAUCAUAUGUAUUAUUUGGGAGACUGUCUUUAUUUGUGACAGUGUUAAGCUCAUACUUGCCUGAAAAUCAUACAUUGUAAAAUUGAAAAAAAAUAAUUAAUUCUCUUGUGAACAAUUUUUUUUUAAUAAAAGUCAAGUAUAAGAUGUACCAUGAGUAACAUUUUGCUUUUGUUUGUUCGAGAAUGUUUUCUUGGAAGAGCCCUCUUGAUAUUUGUCUUUUAUGUGCUUUUUGGCAUCCUUCUUCUUUUUCUUUUGUGAUUUGAUCAUA
Long non-coding RNA from Solanum dulcamara, 1172 nucleotides. RefSeq lists it as uncharacterized. NCBI's taxonomy places the organism in Eukaryota, Viridiplantae, Streptophyta, Magnoliopsida, Solanales, Solanaceae. The transcript has 3 exons. The record is from RefSeq and is a predicted model, not a curated record.